Molecule: ribosomal RNA, 484 nt
Filed under: uncultured bacterium
Lineage: Bacteria
Description: partial 16S ribosomal RNA
Rfam family: Bacterial small subunit ribosomal RNA
Source: RNAcentral
AUUGAACGCUGGCGGCAGGCCUAACACAUGCGAGUCGAGCGGAUGAAGGGAGCUUGCUCCUGGAUUCAGCGGCGGACGGGUGAGUAAUGCCUAGGAAUCUGCCUGGUAGUGGGGGAUAACGUCCGGAAACGGGCGCUAAUACCGCAUACGUCCUGAGGGAGAAAGUGGGGGAUCUUCGGACCUCACGCUAUCAGAUGAGCCUAGGUCGGAUUAGCUAGUUGGCGGGGUAAAGGCCUACCAAGGCGACGAUCCGUAACUGGUCUGAGAGGAUGAUCAGUCACACUGGAACUGAGACACGGUCCAGACUCCUACGGGAGGCAGCAGUGGGGAAUAUUGGACAAUGGGCGAAAGCCUGAUCCAGCCAUGCCGCGUGUGUGAAGAAGGUCUUCGGAUUGUAAAGCACUUUAAGUUGGGAGGAAGGGCAGUAAGUUAAUACCUUGCUGUUUUGACGUUACCAACAGAAUAAGCACCGGCUAACUUCGUG